GCAAGCCAGUGCCCGGAGCUUGUCCAGAUGUGUAGGGAAGAACCGGCACCAGCUGCCCCUGAGGCGGGUGCAGGCCGCCACAGUGCACAGGCCGGUCCAUCUGUGGGCUGCUGCACAUGGCUGUCUUCCUAGGCGGUGGCAGCAGCCAUGAGGAUCUCGUCCCAGCAGCUGCUGCUGUGGACCAGGCCUUGCACGGAUCUUGAGGCUGCCCCAGCCACUCAUCUAUGAGGGUCGGAGCAGCUGAAGCACAAUGCGAUCCAGGGAAAUGACCCACAGCCCAGGGUGUUGGCUCGAGGGGUGUGUCCCAGAGUGUGAGCUGUGUCCACCCACACGUGUGCAGGUGUGUUUGUGGGAACCUCAUUGAGAAGAGCCUGCAAUCAGCAGCAAGCUGGACACCCCUCAGCCUCGAAGUAGAGUCAUCGGAGGGAGCACUGCACCCCAGCAUGGGCCACAGCAUGCUGGAUCAGAACUUCUGAGAAUGUCACCUGCUGCCAAGCACGAGGUCAUAGAGGACAAGCACACAAGACAAGCUGGCGCUGUGGCUCUGGGCCCUGGCCCCUCAGGGCCAGCUGGGCAGUUGACCAAGCAGGCGAAGGCAGCCUGCUGGGAUCCAGGUGCUGGGCCUGGGACUGGGAGGAUCCAAGAUCAUGGUCUCUGUGAGUUUCCACGAGAGAGAUUUCAGCUACCGAACCAAACCCAACCAGCCAGACCCGCUCGUCCCCUCCGGCCACAUGUUGCGUGGCCGCCCGGCCUUGCCUCAUCCCCUGAACCUGCAGAGUUGACUCCAGGCUCCCGUGAGGGUGGCCUGCUGGGUCAAGGCCCCGUGGUCCUCCCAGCCUGCUCCAUUCUCUCCCCCUUUGGCGCCAGGCCUGGCCAGGGACCCCCACUCAGACCCCUGCUCACCCGCCAUGUUCCCCUGCAGCUUCUCGCGCUCACAUGUGGACCCAGACCUGAAGGCUCUUGCCAGAAGGAAUUGGGACACCUGUUAAAUAUUCCUUUACAGACUGUCGUAAACCUGUGGGAUGGAAACACGAGUCUUUAAGUUCUGGUGGUUCAUUGUUUGACACAGGCUGGGAGUCCCUGGGGACCUCGGCUGGCCGUGCUCUCCUGCAGGGCUUCUGUGGACUUCCCUCCGCCUCCCUCUGUCCACCAGGAUUCUCCGCUCACUCUCACUGGCCCUCCGCCACUGCAGGGCACUGCUUCCGAGUCAGACUCUGAAAUCAGGGCGGUCUCAAGCACAGGAGCAGGAAGGAGAGGGCCACCUGGGCCGGGAGGCCUGGCCCGUGUCGCCCGGCCAGCUUUCCUGUCAAGUGGGCUUGGCCAAGCGUGUCCCUGGAAAAUAAAGCUGUGCUCUGAAUGGCCAAAAGGAAAAUUGAAGAGCACACUGGUGUGAACUCGGAGGCAGCUUCAGGAGUCCCAUGAGCUGGGUUCUGGUGGGAAGGAGAUGAAACAUGAUGCAAACUCAUUUCCAGCCCAAGCUCUAGGAGGCCGUUGGUCAGAAGCCUCCAACCCCAGGCUAGAGCCCAGUUGCUGCUGUGCUGGGCGCUGCUGGGGGGACUGCCACAGACCCCAACGGCCAGGGGCCUGUGGUGGACAGCCAGCUCCCUGCCCACUGACACCUGGCCCGGCAGUCC
RNAcentral lists this long non-coding RNA (1634 nucleotides) under Marmota monax (woodchuck). The record is from RNAcentral. Lineage: Eukaryota; Metazoa; Chordata; Mammalia; Rodentia; Sciuridae.